AUGACGUCACCGGCGGCGGCAGGCCCCGCCCCGGCCCCGGGCGGCAGGCCGCAUGACGUCACCGAGGCCCCACCCCUCCGGAGCGAGUUCGGUCCUGGCGUUCAUUUCAUUCCUGUCCUCAUUCCGAACAUUCUUAGCAUCGCUCGCGCCGUGCCGCGCCGCCCGAGCCGAGCCGAGCCUCUGCAGCCGCCGCCGCGGCCCCGCCGCCCGCCGCGGGCGCCCAUCAAGCACUUUGCAGACUCGCUUCCACCCUGCGGGCCAGUCCGCGCGGCGGGGCCCGGGCUCGGGGCGGCCGCGUCCGGGGACAGGCCAUGCAGUGAAUCCCCCCCACCCCGUCCACCUUUGCCCGGAGCCGCGGGCAGGAGCCCAGUUCGUCCAGCCGGCCCCGGGGCAGGAGCGGUGCUAGGCAGGGGUGGGGUGGCCCAGCCCGGGGAUCGGGAAUCGGGGAGGGAGCCGGGCUCCGAGCUGAAGGCGGGGGAAGCGGCGCCGAAGUUUGCCUCGGACUCGCCAGGCGCUGCGGCGGCUCCCUUCGCCGAGGUUUAUUUUCUUGAAAAGGCUCCAGGCUUCGGCUUGGAAAAUCCAACCGCCAAAAUUGAGCCCAGCAGCUGGAGCGGCAGUGAGAGCCCUGCCGAAAACAUGGAAAGGAUGAGUGACUCUGCAGAUAAGCCUAUUGACAAUGAUGCAGAAGGGGUCUGGAGCCCCGACAUUGAGCAGAGCUUUCAGGAAGCCUUGGCUAUCUAUCCACCAUGCGGGAGGAGGAAAAUCAUCUUAUCAGACGAAGGCAAGAUGUAUGGUAGGAAUGAAUUGAUAGCCAGAUACAUCAAACUCAGGACAGGGAAGACGAGGACCAGAAAACAGGUGUCUAGUCAUAUACAGGUCUUAGCAAGAAAGAAAGUUCGAGAAAUUCAAGCCGCCAUUAAGGUGUCUAGUCACAUUCAGGUUCUUGCCAGAAGGAAAUCUCGUGAUUUUCAUUCCAAGCUAAAGGUAACAAGCAUGGAUCAGACUGCAAAGGAUAAGGCCCUGCAGCACAUGGCCGCCAUGUCGUCAGCCCAGAUCGUCUCGGCCACUGCCAUUCACAACAAGCUGGGGCUGCCCGGGAUCCCACGCCCCACCUUCCCGGGGGCGCCGGGGUUCUGGCCAGGAAUGAUACAAACAGGGCAGCCUGGAUCUUCACAAGACGUCAAGCCCUUCGUGCAGCAGGCCUACCCCAUCCAGCCAGCAGUCACGGCCCCCAUUCCAGGGUUUGAACCUGCGUCAGCCCCAGCUCCCUCGGUCCCAGCCUGGCAGGGCCGCUCCAUUGGCACAACCAAACUUCGCCUGGUGGAAUUCUCAGCUUUCCUUGAACAGCAGCGAGACCCAGACUCGUACAACAAACACCUCUUCGUGCACAUCGGGCACGCCAACCAUUCUUACAGUGACCCAUUGCUCGAAUCAGUGGACAUUCGUCAGAUUUAUGACAAAUUUCCUGAAAAGAAAGGUGGCUUAAAGGAACUGUUUGGAAAGGGCCCUCAAAAUGCCUUCUUCCUCGUAAAAUUCUGGGCUGAUUUAAACUGCAAUAUUCAAGACGAUGCCGGGGCUUUUUAUGGCGUAACCAGUCAGUAUGAGAGUUCUGAAAAUAUGACAGUCACCUGCUCCACCAAAGUUUGCUCCUUUGGGAAGCAAGUAGUAGAAAAAGUAGAGACGGAAUACGCAAGGUUUGAGAAUGGCCGAUUUGUCUACCGAAUAAACCGCUCCCCAAUGUGUGAAUAUAUGAUCAACUUCAUCCACAAGCUCAAACACUUACCAGAGAAAUAUAUGAUGAACAGUGUUUUGGAAAACUUCACAAUUUUAUUGGUAACUGUUUUGUCUCUUUCCUGUUUUGUCAGACUCAGCCAUGAAGCUGCCAGGGAAGAGGGGCCUGGGUGGGUCUGGGUCCCAGGUGGUCAGUCAGCAGCUGAAUUCAUGCAUCCGUAA
Bos grunniens (domestic yak) is the source of this 1953-nucleotide long non-coding RNA. The record is from Ensembl. NCBI's taxonomy places the organism in Eukaryota, Metazoa, Chordata, Mammalia, Artiodactyla, Bovidae.